GCCAGGAGCCGCCGGCUGAGGGCGGCCGGAGCGAGCGAGGCACGGAGACCGGAGCGCCGGUAGAGCGAUGCAGACAGCUAUUGUGAUCACCGAGCAGCCGGUCUCUGUCUCCGUUCCUGUUGGGUACUCCUUCACUCUUCACUGCAGAGCUGAGGCCCACACCUCACUGCAGUACCAGUGGUUUUGUCAGUGCCAGAUUCCCGGAGCCACCAAGCAAGACUUGCCCAUCACUGCACAGAAGACCAAACUCUACACUUGCAGAAUUAACGACCUCUACAGAAAUGUGAUCUUCUCUGACUGGGUGAAGGUGGAGGUUCAUCC
This 321-nucleotide long non-coding RNA is filed under the name Gallus gallus (chicken). Its description in RNAcentral is "long non-coding RNA NONGGAT001492". The record is from RNAcentral. Lineage: Eukaryota; Metazoa; Chordata; Aves; Galliformes; Phasianidae.